RNAcentral lists this ribosomal RNA (511 nucleotides) under uncultured bacterium. RNAcentral's name for it is "bacterial SSU rRNA". It matches the Rfam family "Bacterial small subunit ribosomal RNA", at positions 8 to 518 of the family's 1533-position model. The record is from RNAcentral.
AGAGUUUGAUCAUGGCUCAGGAUGAACGCUAGCUACAGGCUAACACAUGCAAGUCGAGGGGUAGCAGGGUAGCAAUACCGCUGACGACCGGCGCACGGGUGAGUAACACGUAUCCAACUUCCCAUAACUCAGGGAUAGCCUUUCGAAAGAAAGAUUAAUACCUGAUAGUACUUUUUCAAGGCAUCUUGAGAAAGUUAAAGAUUUAUUGGUUAUGGAUGGGGAUGCGUUCCAUUAGAUAGUUGGUGAGGUAACGGCUCACCAAGUCUUCGAUGGAUAGGGGUUCUGAGAGGAAGGUCCCCCACAUUGGUACUGAGACACGGACCAAACUCCUACGGGAGGCAGCAGUGAGGAAUAUUGGUCAAUGGGCGAGAGCCUGAACCAGCCAAGUAGCGUGAAGGAUGAAGGUCCUAUGGAUUGUAAACUUCUUUUAUAGUAGAAUAAAGUGAUCCACGUGUGGAUUUUUGUAUGUAUACUAUGAAUAAGGAUCGGCUAACUCCGUGCCAGCAGCCGC